RNAcentral lists this ribosomal RNA (254 nucleotides) under uncultured bacterium. RNAcentral describes it as "partial 16S ribosomal RNA". It matches the Rfam family "Bacterial small subunit ribosomal RNA", at positions 524 to 776 of the family's 1533-position model. The record is from RNAcentral.
UACGUAGGGUGCGAGCGUUGUCCGGAAUUAUUGGGCAUAAAGAGCUCGUAGGCGGUGUGUCGCGUCGGCCGUGAAAACCUGGGGCUCAACUCUGGGCGUGCGGUCGAUACGGGCAUCACUUGAGUUCGGCAGGGGAGACUGGAAUUCCUGGUGUAGCGGUGAAAUGCGCAGAUAUCAGGAGGAACACCGGUGGCGAAGGCGGGUCUCUGGGCCGAUAUUGACGCUGAGGAGCGAAAGCGUGGGGAGCGAACAGG